RNAcentral lists this ribosomal RNA (301 nucleotides) under uncultured bacterium. Its description in RNAcentral is "partial 16S ribosomal RNA". It matches the Rfam family "Bacterial small subunit ribosomal RNA", at positions 509 to 807 of the family's 1533-position model. The record is from RNAcentral.
CAGCAGCCGCGGUAAUACGUAGGGUGCAAGCGUUGUCCGGAAUUAUUGGGCGUAAAGAGCUCGUAGGCGGUUUGUCGCGUCUGCUGUGAAAUCCCGAGGCUCAACCUCGGGCUUGCAGUGGGUACGGGCAGACUAGAGUGCGGUAGGGGAGAUUGGAAUUCCUGGUGUAGCGGUGGAAUGCGCAGAUAUCAGGAGGAACACCGAUGGCGAAGGCAGAUCUCUGGGCCGUAACUGACGCUGAGGAGCGAAAGCGUGGGGAGCGAACAGGAUUAGAUACCCGGGUAGUCCCUGUCUCUUAUAC